CUCUAUUAUAAUCUGAUAUGUGGAAUGUGAGAAUAAUAGUUUGUAAGAUCCUUAUGAUGAUGUGGAUUAUUGUGAGUAUCAGGAGAGACUUGGAUGUUAUUACAUAUUACUUAUUAUGAGAGCUUUAAAAUAGAUAGCAGCAUUACAUAACAGGUAAGACCAAGGUUCCAAGACAUCUGUAACAAUUGGUCAAAGGUUUCAGGAAGUGGAUAAUCUAGAGCAGCAAUCUAACAAUAGCAGCAGUAACAACAGCAACAUCGUGCAUAGCAUUGUUCUGUUUGGUGAGUGGAGAAUUCCCAGAGAAACCAUUCUCACAAUAGGUAGCCUCAUUAGCAGCAUCAUUAGCCCCAUCUUCAGCAAACUUGGGGUCCCCUGCCUGCAGAGCAUAAGUGGCUUUUGGAACAUCACCUACCAACACUGCAUUGUAAUUACUAGCACAAGAACUGAGGGCUCCUUGCUGCUUAGGUCCUCCUCCCUUCUUUUGCAAGUCAUGGAUUAUUUUCAAGGCAUCAUUUGCUUUGGCUUUGAUCACGUUUACCAUGAUAAGAGCCAGUCCUGAGACAUCAGCAGUAGAGCUUCCAGGGCUUGCCUUGAGAUAUUGAAGGCAAAGAUUGUAGUUGGGGGUCUUCUUGCAAGUGCUCUCUAUCAGACUUUCAUCGUUUGGAAGGAAGCUUCUGCACUCGCUUCCUGGUAUUGUAUUCAUAACAACAAUGGCUUCGAGAAACAAACAGAGAAUCACUGGCUUCAAGUUUGCCAUUGUGAAUUUUUCAAAGAGAUUGCUCACAACAGUAGUUUGGUUCCUCUUUAUAGAAUGAUGUAGGUUUUUUUUUAUAAGUGUUGAGACAAUUUCUAAAAUAUCCUUAUUAUUUAAUUCUUAAAAUAUCCUUAUAAAGAAAAAAAUAAUUCUGAACUUACGUCUCACUUUACUUUUUCCACCAAGACAGUUUUUAUUAUUUAAAAUUCAAAUAUUCUUAGUCAAUCAAAGUUAUUUAUGAUUUUAAUUAAAGAUAAUCAGUAUCAGAUUAUAAUUAUGUAAUUAUAUCAUAUGAACAGCUUUUAAAGUAACAUUUUUUUAAUAUAUCUAAUACAUAUACACUUUUUCAACGUACGUUAUGGCUUUUCAAACCUACUUCCUGCAUUAAUACUAAUUUUACAACUUUGAAUAAAAAAAUGUGGAACUGUCAUCUUUUAAAAUUGUUUAUUAUCAUUACUUUCUGUAUUAAUUAAUACUGUUUUUUCAACUUUAAAUGAAAAAAAAUUGUUUAUCAUCGUGAUUCAAAGUUGCUUUCUGUGAUUAAACAUCCACCGUUGUAUGUUCGCUCCAUAAAUUUUUAUUUAUUGGCUUUCAAAUUCAAUCCUAAUCCUAAGUUACGAACAAAGAUCCUUAGAAUUAUUAAUUGAAAAUUAUUUCUAAUCACUUAAAAUUGAUAUAUUAUGUGUAUUUUUUUUUUUGCAAAUUUUAAUUAAUGGUUAUGACACUAUUUGUACCGGUGGGGAUCGAGUAAGCCACAUCACUCGGUCUCGAUUUAUCACCAAGUAAUUAACCACAUUAAAGAGCAAAUUGAUAAUGAAUGACAACUAAGGAAACAUUCAUAUAAAUUCGAGUCACACCCUGCCAAUUUCGGGUGACACCCCGAAAAAUCAUCUAACAUUGAUUUACUAAAGAUAUGCUCAAAGUAUACCUUCCUAGAAAUCUGGAUGGCAUUCCGAGAAAUCAGCUAACAUUGAUUUAUUGAAGAUAUGAGUAAGAUAUGACCCGUCAAGCAAAUAGCUCAUUACCAAACACUAUAAACAAGUCUUCUACGAUGGAUUGAUGUGCGCUUUUAUCAGUUUUGAUAUCCUACACUUUCAAUAGAUAGUAUUUACCUGAUUGUCAGAGAACCUUCUAUAGGUUUACUCCCAACCGAGCGCUCAGGAGAUAAGAAGUGGAAAUGUUGAAGUCUGAAGGAGUGAAAGAACUGAGCAACUGGAAAACAAGGGAGCACGACCGAAUGAUCGACACCGACAACAAUAAUUUCAGGUACUAUCUAGGCUCACUUUGUCUAUACAAGUAGAAUUGGUGUCCCCGCUCGUCACCACCUGAAGGUGGCACCAAAUCAUUCAUGGGGGCGGACGAGCCCCCCCCCCCCAUCCAUUUCUAGCGACUUCUUUUGUCUCUUCAUCGUGUGACAGCAAUUAAUUCAAUACAUUGGCAGCACCAAGGUCAGUUUGAGCCAUAGUUCCUGCAAGUUAACAUAAAAUUAAACACACAGUCAACAAAUUGAAUAAAAACACCAACAGCUUAAACACUAUGUAUCGCCAAAGUCCACCCAACAGUGGGUCGAUUUGUAUACCGCCAGUAUAUUUCGAGUAGGUUGCCUAUUCUGAAGUUGGUUGAGUACGUAGAAUACCUCCUUGUCUUGAGGGGUCAUGGAUGAUCUUGGCCAUGAUUUGUAACAAGUGAGCGACCGAGUCCAAUCAAAUGGAAAUUUAUGCUUCCCAUCAAAAUCAUAAAAGUAGGGUUUAUCGUUCGAUUCGAUGAAUAUUUUGAAAUACCUCUGCUUGAAAUUCUUAUAGCCUAGGAUGGGAGAAUUAUAAUAAAACAAAAAAGAUUGUGGGGACGACCUCAAUCGAAGGGCAUCACUAAUUCGCCUAAAUGCUUGGAGGACCGCCACGAGUUUGGAUGUAACUUGGUAUGAGCAACGUUGAGAAUACCAAGGACUCCCAUUUCAAAUUCAUCAAACAGAUGAGUUACGUGUAAAUCGUUAAAAAGGCAAGUGUAUGCAAAGAAAAAGUCUCGAGAACCAUUUUCCCGAUGUGAGACCUGAUCAGUGUGAUUACAAUUAUUGGAGUUCGAUUUUAACAUAGAAACUUUAGAAAGAAAUCCAUCUAAAGCAAAGGAACCCCUAAAACAGGUAGGUAUAUCAAGGACGCAUGGGUCAACCCACUCAGAAUUAGGACAGUGAGGCAGGCGGCUAGCAAGGUCGAUCGCCUGGUUAGAACGACCCACAUCCUUCACCUCGUUAGGAUUAGAAUGUGUUUGUUUUGAUGAAGAAGAAUAAGAAGGAAUGCUAGAAGACCCAGAAGAAGAAUCUAUUACUAACCUCUUGAAGAACAAAUGCAAUGAACAAAGGUGAAGAGUAACUUUGGAGCACUCGAACAAAGAAUGUCGGUACUCAGACAACUUUGAAGGCUUGGAUUCAAAGCAAGAAGAUGGACACGUAGCAAAGUUACAAAAGGACUCUUAUUUAUAGAUUUUUGAAAACGAAAGAACGAAAGGUUGCCUCCUUUAAAACCGUUAGAUUUGUUUCAAUCCAAGGGUUAGAUUUGAUAAAACCGUUAGAUUUAUAAUAGUACCAAAAUCUGAAUAAAAUAUUAAAAAGUAUGUGCUUCAAAAUACACAUAUAACACCGGUUGUGGCUCCCAAUCGGUAUUAUAUAACACCAAGAUGUUCAACAUAUAACAAUUACCCAAUGUAAAACAUAAUACAUUAUAUUCCAAAUACAAUAUAAUAAAACUGAUUAUCUAUAUAAAUAAUUGUAAACCAUAUAAUAAUUAAAAAUAAAAAUCUAACCUAGAGCGUGAACGGAGUUGUAGCGGUAAUGGAGGCAAUGUGGAGGCAACAGAGGUGACAAGAGCAACGAAAAGAGUGACAACAAAAAAGCAGAGACGCGUGAACGGAAGAAUCUCAUUCGGUGUGAAUGCUCUCACGACGAAGAGAACAAAAUAAGAGAGAAUCGACGAGCGGAGCAGUGGGAGGAGCGAUGGAGGCAAGAGAGGGAGCGGUGGAGGCAACGGCUGGCAGUGACAAUGGCAGAAGCAAAAUGAACUCUUGAGUAAGAAAACUUUGAAGAAUAACACGAAUGGAGAGUGGGGACACGAACCAAGAAAAUAUGAUAAAAACAUAUAUUACAUCGGUUAUGAGUAAUAACCAAUAUAAUAUAUAUUUUUUAUAAUUCUAGUUAUUUUAGAAAGGAAAGUGCUAAAUCACAAAUGCAUGCUAAAUUAAUAAAUCACUUCCUUUAAAUAAAACAUCAAUCUACUAAAUAUAUUAUUCGACUUAAUCACAUUUUUAAUACUUUUUACAAUGAUUUAAAUUACUUGAUUUUAAAUAUCAUUUUCAGGCAAUUAAUAUAAAUUUACGAGUUCACCUAGUUUCAACUACUAAUGUAUUGUUUUGAUAUAUAAAAUUGAGGGAGUGCAUUUGAAUAUAUUUGAAGAAAAAUAUGGAAGAAAGUGAGAUUGGUUGGAUUAAGAUAAAUAAAUUAUAAUUCUUUUUAAUUGAUAAAGAAUAGUAUAAAAGAUAUUUUAAAAAAUGUAAAUAAAAUUAAAAUAAUUUUAAAUUAAAAUAAAUAAAUAAAUAUAAACUGUAAUAUAUAAAAAUUUAUAUUUUAAAAUAAUAAUAAAUUAAUUUAAAUUUAAUAUCAAAUAAAAUAUUGUUUUUAAUAUGUUAUUAAAAUAAAAUAUUCACAUUUAUUUAUUAUUUUAAUAUUUUUUAAAUUAUUUAUUUAAAAAAUCAAGUAAAUUAUAUUAUAAACUAAUUUAUUAAAAAUAAUUUUUUCAAACUUUUUUCACAAUUUUAAAUAGAAAGUAUGAACCUUAUUUUUUUCUCGAUUAAUAUUUUUAUUCAUUUUGAAUUUCAACAGACCAUAAAUAUUUAUUAAAUUACAUAUGUUUCAAUAGUUACCUUGAAAAAUGUUCACUUUAGCGAGUUGUAUUAAAACAACAAUGUCUUGCGAUUAACUAAUUAGUUUAAAUGUGUUUCAUUCAUCAAUAAAAGGUUCAAAACAAAUUACAUUAUAUGGAUACACAUUUAUAAUAAAAAUGUUAUCUAUCAAUCAUUAUAAACAUUUAUAAUUGUUUUUUUCUUGUGACUUGUCUCCAAAUCUAAUAGCCCUAAACAGACCCAUCACAUAUGUGAUGCUCAUCAUUCAUAAAUUCACAAGUUCAUAAAUAUGUUUCAUUCUAUUAAAAAAAUAUAUACCUACUAAGUAACUCUAUCAAACCCAUCACCAACAAUACGAAGAAUGGUCAAAAUGUUAUUUACAUAAAUUACGUCAAUGUUAUCUUACGGUGAUAAUUGAUUUUAUAAAUGUAGCAAAUGUUUAUAAUAUAUAUAUAUAUAUAUAUAUAUAUAUAUAUAAAGUUUUCUAUUUAAUUAAUCUAAAAAUUGAAAUAAAUUUUACAAUUGUAUUGGUCGAAGUCGAAUGAGCCACAUCACUUGGCAUCAUUGACCGCCCACCUAAUGACUAACUACAUUAAAAAAACAAAUCAAAGAUAAAUGAUAAGUAUGAUAAGAUCCUACAAAUUAGGGUAACUUUUCUAUAAAUUUAGGCUGGACCUCGCUAAAUCUGGGAGUUAUGAGAUGAAUUGGCUAAAACUAAUUUAUUGAAGAUACGAUACGACUCAUGAAUAAAAUAUUCCACUACCAAACACUAUAAAUAAGCCUUCUACGUAAGAGACUAAGUUACGGUUUUAUCAAUUUACAUCAAACACUUUCAAUACAGAGUACUUACUUGAUGGUCAGAGAACCUUCUAUAGGUUAACUCCCGAUCGAGCACCAAUGAGUUGAAGAGUUAAAGCUCCAAGGAGAACAAGAGGAGCGAAAAAAAGAACGAUCAUGACAAGGGAACGAAUACGAGAAGAGUGACUGACACCAACAACAGUUGUUACUGCCAGUUCCAGAUACUAUCUAGGCUCCCUUACUCUAUACAAUUACAAGAACUAAACAAAAUCAAUGACUAAAAUGAUGCAGAAAUUUUUCUUCAAAUCAUUACCAAAAAGCAAAUGAAAAUAUCCAAAUCUUGACAUGAAAAUGAGAUAGAAAAAGAGGAAUGAUACUAGUCAGAACACAAUGUUAGAAAAUUAUGUAAAUUAAUUUAUAAUGUUACUCAUAUGAAAUAGUUUUUGGACUUUGGGUCUGAAUAUGAUUUAAUAAAAUAAAAGAUCAAUUGGUUAAUGUAAGAAUUUAUAUAUAUAUAUAUAUAUAUAUAUAUAUAUUAUGAUACCUAAUGAAAACCUAAUCUGAUGGAGAUUUGGAAAUAAUAUAAACGGGUUUUGUCUCUGCAAAGGAAGUUGUUCACGGUUAACCAUAAAAAAAGAACAUGAAAAGAAAGGAAUUGCAAGUAAUAUUAAGUUUGUUCUUACAAAACUGAAAGUACAAAAGAAUUCAUUAGAUUUGUGGAAGAGCUCCCAAAAUAUUGAUAAGUCUCUUUGCCGGGGACAUUAAAGAGUACCUUAACUCCCAUGAAAUUUGAUAGUUCUCGUACUAAGCAUGAAUAUGUCAUUGAGAUGAAAAAUAUUGCAGCAAGACUUAAAUAUAUAGGAAUGACACUGGAUAAAGUAUUUCUUGUGCACUUCCUCUUGAACUCAUUACUGUAUAAGUAUGGUCCUUUCCAAAUGAACUAUAAUACCAAGAAAGACAAAUGGAAUGCUCAUGAAUUGUACAUUACGUUAGUUCAGGAAGAGAGCAGACUUAAGAACCAAGGAAACCACUCCAUUAAUUAUGUGAACAAUCAGGGAAAGAAAAAUGAGUUCUCUACUAAAGAAAUAGGGAAAGGCUAAAGGAUCGUUAAAGAUAAAUGAGUUCUCUACUAAACUCCAGAACAAAAAUGAAAAAUUUCAUUUUUGUGGGAAAUUUGGACAUUUCCAAAAGGAUUGUCUGAAACGUAAGGCUUGGUUCAAAAAGAAAGGAAAACAUAAUGAAUAUUAUGUAUGUUUUGAAUCAAACUUAACAAAAGUUCCACAUAAUUCUUGGUGGAUUGAUUCUGGAUGCACAACUCAUGUUUCUAAUAUGAUGCAGGGAUUCCUUUCAACCCGAACCAUAAAACCAAAUGAAAAGUUUGUCUUUAUGGGGAAUGGAGUGAAGGUUUUAGUGGAAGUUGUCGGGACUUAUCGUUUAAUCCUUGACACUGGAUUUUAUUUAGGAUUGAUAGAUACUAUUUAUGUACCUAGUAUCACUAGUAUCUUUAGGAAUUUGAUUUCUUUGUCUAAACUUGAUGUUGCUGGAUACUCUUUUAAAUUUGAGAAUGGUUGUUUCAGUUUGUAUAAGUGUACUUAUUUGAUUGGAUCUGAUACUCUUUACGAUGGUUUAUAUAAAUUCAAUCUUGAUAAUUUAUAUUGUACCGGUACUGGGCGAGACUGGGACCCACCUGGCUGCCCGAUGCCCAGUCAACCUGGCCGAGGGACCGAAAGGCCGAGACCCCUUGAAGACUUGGCCGAGAGACCGAAAGGCCGAGACCUUUUGGAGACUUGGCCGAGAGAUCGAGACCGUUGAAGACUCAACUGAGACGGCCGAAGGCCACGGGUAUUUGGCCGACGGCCGGCCCUCAUCACGAGAAUUUGGCCGAUGGUCGAACCCCAUUACAAUUAACACUCAAACCGAGAUCAGUGAAGCUAAUCCAUCAUCAAGAAUUAGGUAAUGCAACCCUAAGCGGUAUCCACCUCGAUAAACGGGCCCAACAAGGUAGGCCCACUAGAAUAAUAUAAAUAGCACGCAUUUCAAGGAGUAAGGUAUGUCAUUAUUACUGUUCACCUACCUGAGAGCUAACCACCCGCUUUACUGACUUAAGCGUCGGAGUGCCUUCGCAGCUACCCCCACCAUCCGGUGUUCACCCGACGACCGAGUCCUGAGUGCCGAAGGAUAAGCAGGAGGACGAGAAGAAUCCCAGUUCAUCACCCAGCCACCUGCCCGACCGAAGGAAGGAGAGGAAGACUUCAAUAGUUCUCUAGGUCCCAUCUCCCUGGUAGGAACAAUUGGCGCCCACCGUGGGGCCGAGGGAAACUAGCUGAAGGAAAAAAGUAGAUGGUUUCAACAAGAAGCAUGGAAAGAAUGACUGAAGCCGACCAAACGAUGUUGCUGCUGUCUCUCAAGAGGGAGAUGGCCGAGAUGCGAAGAAAGGCCGAGGAGGCCGCUCAGAAAAAUGAGCAAGAGCUACAAGUUCUCCGCAGGGAGAACGAGGAUAUGAGAAAGAAGCUGGGGGAGGGAGGACCCUCUGUCAUACCGACAAACGUGGUCGGCAAGUCCUACACCUCUCCCCCCAACUCGGAUGUGGCCGAGGGGACGAGAGGCCGACCCCCUCCCCGCGAGACUGAGAUGGGCGACGAGUCGUGCCUAAUCAGGUCCACCCGGACGACCCUGACGGCUGACCCGAACCGCCGACAUCCCUUCACAAACAACAUCAUCGAAGUCCCGCUUCCUAAGAAGUGGAAGGGUUUCAACCGAGACCGAUACGACGGGUCGACCGACCCGGACGAGCAUAUGGACGCCUACACCACCCAUAUGAGUCUCUACACCCCGGACGACGCCGUCUUGUGCCGAGUGUUCCCCACAUCCUUGAAGGGUGCAGCCCUUAGUUGGUUCACCAAGCUCUCACCCAACUUCAUCGACAGCUUUGCCACGCUUGUCGCAAAGUUCGAAACGCAGUUCGCGACCAGCCGGCCGCACCAUCUAACCUCCAUCGCUCUGGUAGGCAUCCGCCAGGAGAAGGGAGAGUCGCUGAGAACCUUCGUGGAUAGGUUCAGUAAAGUGGCGAUGAGCAUCCGGAAUCUGAGUCCGGAUGUCGCCAUGCACCACAUGCUGACGGCCCUACAUCCGGGGCCCUUUGCCGAUAAUCUAUGCAUGCAGCCGGCCGACAGCCUGGACGAGCUGAGAAAGAGAGCUGCUAAGUACAUGCAGCUAGAAGAGCUAAGAGAAUUCCGUAACCAGGCCCGUGCCGAGGCCGGUGGGGAGAAAAACAAGGAAGAGAAGGAUUGCCAGGGGCGGCCGAGUCAAAGGAACGACCGACGCCGGGAAAACCGAGACCGACCGAUCCGGUUCUCAAGAUACACACCGCUGACGACCGAGAGGGGGAGAAUUUUGGACGAGGCCCUCAAUGCCGAAUUGAUCCCUCCCCCAAGGAAGGUGGCCAGCCCAAAUAAUGGCGACCGGAGGAAGCAGUGUCGGUACCACCAAAAACAGGACACUCAACCGACGAGUGUCAGGCCCUUAAGGAUAAGAUCGAGGAACUUAUCUAGGCUGGGCUUCUCCGACGUUUCGUCAGGAAUGUCCAAGACCCACCCGGCCGGGCGGAUCCACCCAGGCAGACGAGGUCACCUCAGCGAGGCCGAGAAAACCAAAAUAACAGGGGCGACCGGCAACCCGCAAGGGUCGAUCCCCCUCGAAGAGACGAUUCCCCCAGGGACGCCGAUAGGAGAGGUAACCGAGAGGUUAUCAACACUAUAGCCGGCGGCUUCGCCGGGGGAGGAAGCACAAACAACGCCCGAAAGAAGCACCUCCGGGCGGUACACCAGGUAAACGCUGUGGCGUUUCGACCGAGAAUGCCACCCAUCACGUUCACGGACGAGGACUUCAAAGGCGUAGACUACCGCCAGCAGGACGACCCGAUGGUGAUAGCGGUCGACAUAGAUCGAUUCACCAUAAGGAAGACCCUCGUGGACCAAGGAAGUUCGGUAGAUAUCCUCUACUGGAAAACUUUCAAGGCCAUGAGAAUGACCGAGGCCGAGAUGAUGCCAUACGACGACCACGUGGUAGGAUUCUCGGGCGAAAGGGUGGGUACCAAGGGGUAUAUCGACUUGUACACCACCUUCGGAGAGGGGAAGAACACCAGGACCAUCAAAAUUCGGUACCUGGUCAUCGACGCCAACACCUCCUACAACAUCCUCCUCGGCCGACCGUCCAUCAACCGGCUGAUGGCCAUAGUAUCAACCCCUCACCUCGCAAUGAAGUUCCCUUCAAAAACAAGGGACAUUCUCACGGUCCACGUAGACCAAAAAGAAGCACGAGAGUGCUACGCCGAGAGCCUCCGGGUGGAACCUUUAAGGGCCGACACCUCUCCCCUCAGAAUAAGGAAGUCCUCCCGAAAAGACCGCUCCCCCAGGAUGGACCGACCGAGGGAAAUCAAGCCAACCGUGGCGUUGGUGGACCUCGACCCCCGGGCGACCGAAGACAGACUGGAGGUGAGAGAAGAGCUAAGGAGAGUCCCCCUCCUCGACGAAGAACACAGCACGGCUGUAGGAACAGCCUUGGCAGCGGCCGAGGCUGAGAUCAUGCAUGCUGCGCUAAAAAAGAAUAUCGACAUGUUUGCAUGGACGCCGACCGACAUGCCGGGGGUGAGCCCGGAUGUCAUCACCCAUCGACUGUCAAUAUUCAAGGAAGCCCGACCGAUCUCCCAAAAAAAGAGAGACUUGGGCAACGAGAAGCGACUCGCGGCGAAGGAGGAGGCCGAGAAGCUCCUGUCGGCCGGGUUCAUAAGGGAGGCCCGAUACAUGACAUGGCUGGCCAACGUCGUCAUGGUCACCAAGCCGAACGGUAACUGGAGAAUGUGCGUCGACUAUAGAAACAUCAACAGCGCAUGCCCGAAGGACACCUACCCCCUCCCGAACAUUGACCGACUGGUGGAUGGUGCGGCCGGCCACAAAAUUAUGAGUUUCUUAGACGCUUACUCUGGCUAUAACCAGAUAAGAAUGCACCCAAGAGACAAGGAAAAGACGGCCUUCAUGACGGCCGACUCCAACUACUAUUACGAGGUCAUGCCAUUCGGCCUCAAGAACGCAGGGGCGACCUACCAGCGCCUGAUGGACAAAGUCUUCAAAGGACUAAUCGGUCGGGCGGUAGAGGUGUACGUGGACGACAUAGUCGUGAAGUCCGACUCGUUUGAUCAACAUCUGAAAGACCUGGACGAGGUCUUCAAGGCCUUAAGGGGAGUCAAUAUGAAGCUCAACCCCGAAAAAUGUACCUUCGGGGUCGAGGGAGGGAAGUUCCUAGGCUUCAUGCUCACCCACCGGGGGAUAGAGGCCAAUCCCGACAAGUGUCAAGCAAUACUCAACAUGAGAAGCCCGAACAGCGUGAAGGAGGUACAGCAACUCCUAGGGCGGCUGACCGCCCUCUCCUGAUUCGUCCCCCGCCUGGCCGAGAGGACGAGGCCGAUGGUACAGCUCCUCCGGAAGGGCAAAAAGUUCGCUUGGGACGACCAAUGCGAGGAAAUUUUCAAGCAGUUCAAGGAGUUCCUCACAUCCCCGGCCGUCAUCCAGAAGCCGAGGGCCGACCACCCAAUCCUAGUGUAUCUGGCAGUCUCUGAAGAGGCAGUUAGCGCUGCCCUGGUACAAGAGACCGAGGGCGAGGAACUUCCUGUGUACUUCGUCAGCCGAACCCUCCACUCGGCCGAGACCCGAUACCAGAUGAUCGAAAAGGUGGCUCUCGCACUGGUCCUCACGGCAAGAUUGAUGCGCCCAUACUUCCAAAAUCACUCCAUAACUGUAAGAACCGACUACCCUAUUUUCAAAAUUUUAUCUAAACCGGACCUUGCAGGGAGGAUGAUAGGAUGGUCAGACGAACUCUCCGAGUUCGACAUACGCUAUGAACCGAGGGGUGCUAUCAGGUCUCAAUGCUUGGCCGACUUCUCGGCCGAACUGACACCACUACCCUCCCUCUCGGGCAGGUGGACUCUCUAUGUGGACGGCUCCUCAAAUAAAACAGCCUGUGGAGCGGGAGUCGUCCUGGAGGGGCCGGGCGACCUCUUCUUGGAACAAGCCCUCCAAUUCGAAUUCCGGGCGACCAACAACUAGGCCAAGUACGAGGCCUUGCUGGCCGGGCUGAACCUAGCCUACGACAUGGGAGCGCGCGAGGUUACAUGCAAAAGCGACUCCCAGGUGAUGGUCGGCCAAGUCAAUGGAGAUUUCGAGGUUAAAGAGCCUUUGCUGCAGCGGUACUACCACGCGGCCAAAAACAGCAUCGCCCGCUUCAACAAAGCACCCUUGCAACACAUACCGCGGGAGGACAACAAAAGGGCCGACAUCCUGUCAAAGCUCUCGGUCACAAAAAAGAAGAGCCACCAGAGAUCGGUCAUACAAAUAUGGCUGAGACACCCGAGUGUGACGGAGGCCGAGGCCGAGUGCCUGGCUGUAGAAGAAGAAGAGGCUGAGGCCGACAAUUGGAUGACUCCCGUCAUCCAAUACCUGACGGACGGCACGUGCACGGCCGACCAAGAGAGGGCGAUGAAGCAACAAUGCGCCCGGUACACCAUGAUCAACGAAGAUUUGUAUCGGAGAGGCUACUCAACCCCCCUGCUAAAAUGCAUAACCAGCAAAAGGGCCGAGUACAUCCUGGCCGAGAUCCAUGAAGGAGUCUGCGGAAAUCACGCCGGGGCGAGAACUAUGGCCGCCAAGGUCUUGAGAGCCGGCUACUACUGGCCGACCAUAAAGGGCGAAUGUUCCGAAUACGUAAAGAAAUGUGCCAAGUGCCAAGAAUUCGGCCCCCUCCUCCACACCAGGCCGGAAGAACUGCACAGCAUCAUCUCCCCGUGGCCGUUCGCCAUGUGGGGGAUGGACAUUAUCGGUCCAUUCUCCCCAGGGAAGGGGCAGACCAAAUUCCUCCUGGUGGGAGUCGACUACUUCACAAAAUGGAUCGAGGCCGAGCCCCUCGCCUCCAUCUCGGCGAAGAAUGUACAAAACUUCGUAUGCAGGAGCAUUGUCUGCCGAUUCGGCGUCCCACACCACACAAUAGUAACUGACAAUGGCCGAUAGUUCAUCGACCGAGGCCUACAGUCCUUCUAUGACGACCUGGGCAUCAAGUCCAUCACGGCCUCGGUAGAACACCCACAAACCAAUGGGCAGGCCGAGGCCGCCAACAAGGUCAUACUCAACGAGCUGAAGAAGCGACUGGGCAAAGCAAAGGGCCGAUGGACCGAGGAGCUGAUCGAGGUACUUUGGGCGUAUAGGUGCACCCCCCAAACUACCACACAGGAAACACCCUACAGUCUGACGUACGGAACCGAGGCCAUGAUCCCGGUAGAGGUGGCCGAGCCCACCAUACGACGACAGAUGUUCGAUCUCACCCUGAACGAGGAAAGCCUAGCGGUCAACCUCGACCUGGUAAGUGAGCUUCGUGACAAAAGCAAGAUUCGGGAGGCUGCCUGCAAAGCCUGGGCGUCCAGACGGUACAACACCAAAGUCCGGCCGAGAGGUUUCCAGAAGGGCGAUCUCGUCUGGAGAAUGCGCAGCGACGCAAGAAAAAACGAAGGGAAGUUCUCAUCCAACUGGGAGGGGCCUUUCCGAGUCCGAGAAGUCGCACAAGGAGGAGCCUAUCAUCUAGAAUGGCUUUCAGGAAAAAUUGUACCGAGGACGUGGAAUGCCACGCACCUCAAAUUCUAUUACAGCUAAAAUCAAUAAAAUCACGCAUUCUUUCCUCACCCAACCAGGGAGGUUUUAACGAGGCGUUUUCAUCAAAAGUGUUGGAAAUAUUCUACUGAAAGUAUUGGCCGACCGCCAACUUGCUCGAUUAACAUCGCAAGUGCCGGCCUGCCGACCGCCCGCUUGCUCGAUUAACAUCGCAAGUGCCGGACUGCCGAACGCCCACUUGCUCGAUUAACAUCGCAAGUGCCUUGCUCGAUUAACAUCGCAAGUGCCUUGCUCGAUUAACAUCGCAAGUGCCUUGCUCGAUUAACAUCGCAAGUGCCGGCCUACCGAACGCUCACCAAGCUUGCUCGAAUUUAACGUUCGCAACCUAAUGGCCGAUCGCCCAUGUUUUACUUGCUAGAAUUUAACAUUCGCAAUUUAUGGCCGAUCGCCCAUAUUUUACUUGCUCGAAUUUAACGUUCGCAACCUAAUGGCCGAUCGCCCAUGUUUUACUUGCUAGAAUUUAACAUUCGCAAUUUAUAGCCGAUCGCCCAUAUUUUACUUGCUAGAAUUUAACAUUCGCAAUUUAUGGCCGAUCGCCCAUAUUUUACUUGCUCGAAUUUAACGUUCGCAACCUAAUGGCCGAUCGCCCGAAUCAAUGGCAGACCGAUUGUUUAACUUGUUAAAUUUCAUGCCAAACUGAUAAAAGGAAAGAUGGACAAUAUAUUGAUAAACAAGAAGCACCGGACGAUACAUCAAAACACAAAAUAAAAAGGCCACGCCCCGACCUCGGAGGAUACUAAAAAAGGAAAAGGCCACAACCCGGCCAAAGAUGAACCUAAUCCUGGAUAUUAAUGCAGUCACCCUCCUCAGCCUCGACCUCCUUACCCCGAACCUCGGCCUCCCCCUCCUCGGUCCCGGCCGGUUCAGUUUCCUGAGCAGUUAAGGCGGCCACUUCAGCACUUGGCAUUAAUCGACCCUGGUAGACCUCACAAUCAAGGUCAAACUCACCAGUGGCCGGCGGCCCGCCAUAUAGCACAUGCGCUUGACGGACGGCUCGUUCAAAACAUUGCUUCAGCAGCUCCUCAGCCUCCUCAUAAUUCUCAUCCAGUUCGGCCUCGGCUUGCUCCUUUGAGAGUUGAAGGGCGGCCAUCUCAGUGGCCGAGGCAGAGAGCUGCUCACUCUUCUCUUCAACCAACUUCUUCAGAUUGGCGAUCUCGGCAGCCGCCCUCAACUUCUCAGCCUCCAGCUGACGCAUUGCCUCGGCCGCCUCCCUCUGCGUUAGCUCCUUCUCGGCCGCCUCUGUAGCAACCAAGGCCGACAGAUUGGUGUUCACGGAGAGGGACUGCUCCAAGGCCUCGGUAGCCUCAGAGAGUUUAUGCUCCAAGGAUGACACGACCUCGGCCUGACGAUCCCGACCUUGAAGCCCGCUCUGGACAAGGACAACCGAGCGGCACAUCAAUUUGAAGCCGCUCCUGAGGAGUUCCGAGGGAGAGACGUCGCGUAGGGGGUCCCGAGCCUCAUCUGGAAGCGCAACGCGAACCCUCCGGGAGAACCGAUACCCAGCCCCCAAGAUAUCAAAGGGCGUGGCCGCCCGGGCAUCAGCCACAGAUGGACCGGCCCCCGUUUGCACCAUGGCCCCAGGAGAGCCCGACACCGUCUCAGCUGGCACCCGUCGGGAAGGAGGAGGCGUCGGCAUGGACCCAGGUGACCGGGUGGUGGUGGCAAUGUUGCUAGCGCCCCUCGGACGUUUCUUGGACUUGUGGGUGGGGUCAGCCGACCCCUUAGACUUGCGAGAUGGGCUGGCCGCCCCCUCGUCACUCGGUGACGGUAUCACUUCCAAGCACCGACGUCCCCUACGCUCGGCCGCCUUCUGCCGAUGCUUGUCGAGUACGCUAACGGCGCUCGGUCGUUCGCUAACCAUGAUCUCUGCAAAACAAAACAGAGUUAAAAAUAAGGCAAAACAAAUAGACCGGCCGACAGACCAACUAAGGCAAACCAGGACACAUACCCCUCACGGCCGCCCAGCGCGCAGACUUGGCAUACGCACCAAUCAACCCCCGGCACGGAAGCCUCCUCGGGAGGGCGUCAAAAAGGGCAAGGACACCCAGCUCGUCCUCACCCUCCGUCGGCCUCAGCCACUCCUUAAAAUCGCAAGGCUCCUGGGUCCAAUAAAGGGGGAAUCUCGACCGCCCGGUCGAGUCAAAAAAGAGAGAAGUCGCCUCAGGCCGGAUCACGACCUUCACAAAUCUCUCUUUAAAACGUUUAUAAGAAAGGGCGAAGAGAUCAAAAAGAACACUACCAGGCCGGCCGGCCAGCGAAUGCCAGGCAGCCUUUUUCGCAGGAUGGGAGUUAUAGUAAGAAAGAAAACAUGAGGGCGUGGGGUGAAGACGCAUGACGUCACACAACAAGCGGAAGGCUUGAAGGGACGCCCAGGUAUUUGGGUGAACCUGGGUGGGAGCAACGUUGAGCGUCCGAAGGACGCCCAUCGUAAACUCAUCAAAAGGAAGGGAAACAAAAAGGUCGACAAAAAAGCAAGUAUACAUAUAAAAGAAAGGGGGGCCGGAACCGGGCCGCCCCAUACACACUCUCUUGUCCACCCCACAAGGUAGAAUGCUAAAGUGGGAAGAAUACUCCUCUGCCUUUAAAACCGGUUGCCUGCGCAAAAAUUUCGCCACAGACUCCUCGGUCCCAUAGGUAGACGACAUCUCCAUCACCCUAGGAUCCACCCAGCUAAAAUCCCCUAAGGGAACGGCCAUGGGGGGAGAGCCCGAUCGGUCAACAGCGUUGGCCGGGGCAUCCUCCCUCACGACCUCCACCGAGGGUAGAGCAUCGGCCACCCCAACCGAAACAGGGUCGGUGGUGAAUGACGAAGAGGAAGGAGAAGAAGAGGAUGACGACUCAGAAGACUCCCUCACAGAGGAAUAACCGACGGGAGAGGCCGGGUCACCCGAGGGAGGGGGGGAAGAACUAGGCUCACAACACAUAACUAACCUUAGCUGACAGAAUAAGCUGGGCGAGGGAAGACAGCUGAACGGUCACUCAACUCUCAGCAGUGGAUGAAAGAUUACUCGACUUCCAGAAAAACUUACAAGAACACAAAGUAGAGGGACCUCGUCACUAGUAGACCUCUAUUUAUAAGGCCCAUGGGCCUCGGAAUUCGAAACGACGAAUCAACCUGAACCGUUAGAUCUCUUAGAUCCAACGGUUCACAACAUUUCCCGCCCGAAAAACCCCUCAUUAAUGCCAAUCACGUCACGCCGCCUAAGUCAAGUCACACCUCGAAAAACGAAACGACCGCACGUCCAAGGGAGGCCAACCGACUCCCAUUAUCAAAAGACUCAUCGGACAUAUCUGACACAUCUGCCCUUGAGCCUGGGGGGCAAGUGUACCGGUACUGGGCGAGACUGGGACCCACCUGGCUGCCCGAUGCCCAGUCAACCUGGCCGAGGGACCGAAAGGCCGAGACCCCUUGAAGACUUGGCCGAGAGACCGAGAGGCCGAGACCUUUUGGAGACUUGGCCGAGAGACCGAGACCGUUGAAGACUCAACUGAGACGGCCGAAGGCCACGGGUAUUUGGCCGAUGGCCGGCCCUCAUCAUGAGAAUUUGGCCGAUGGCCGAACCCCAUUACAAUUAACGCUCAAACCGAGAUCAGUGAAGCUAAUCCAUCAUCAAGAAUUAGGUAAUGCAACCCUAAGCGGUAUCCACCUCGAUAAAUGGGCCCAACAAGGUAGGCCCACUAGAAUAAUAUAAAUAGCACGCAUUUCAAGGAGUAAGGUAUGUCAUUAUUACUGUUCACCUACCUGAGAGCUAACCACCCGCUUUACUGACUUGAGGGUCGGAGUGCCUUCGCAGGUACCCCCACCAUCCGGUGUUCACCCGACGACCGAGUCCCGAGUGCCGAAGGAUAAGCAGGAGGACGAGAAGAAUCCCAGUUCAUCACCCAGCCACCUGCCCGACCGAAGGAAGGAGAGGAAGACUUCAAUAGUUCUCUAGGUCCCAUCUCCCUAGUAGGAACAUAUAUGUUGAAACUCUUCUGACCUCGCAUCAUAAUGUUGGCACUAAACGUAGUUUAAUGAAUGAAUGUUCUACUUUCUUGUGGCAUAAACGUUUGAGACAUAUGUCCAAAUAAAGGAUGAAAAGAUUAGUAAAGAAUAAAAUAUUUCCAAAUUUAGAUUUUACGGAUCUGAAUGUAUGUGUAGAUUGUAUUAAAGGCAAACAAACAAAACAUAAAGAAGGGAGCCACAAGAAGCACUCAACUUCUUGAAAUUAUAGACAUUGAUAUAUGUGGACCUUUUGAUGUAAAUUCUUUCAAUAAAGAAAGGUAUUUUAUCACCUUUAUUGAUGAUUUUUCACGCUAUGGUUAUGUUUAUUUACAACAUAUAAAAUCUAAAGCAAUGAAUGUCUUGGAAGUUUAUAUAAAUGAAGUGGAAAGACAAUUAUAAAGAAAGGUGAAAAUUGUUAGGUAAAUUAGAGGUGGUGAAUAUUAUAGAAAAUAUGAUGAAAAUAGACAACACCCUGGUCCAUUUGCUAAGUUCCUUGAGAAACGUGGUAUUUGUGCUCAAUAAACAAUGCUAGGUAUACCUCAACAAAAUGGUGUGUCAAAAAGGCAUAAUCGAACCUUAAUGAAUAAGGUUAGGAGCAUAUUAAAUAAUUCAUCUUUACCUAUAUCAUUAUAGAUGUAUGCUUUAAAAACUGCCAUGUAUCUGUUGAACAAGAUUCCUAGUAAGGUCGUUCAAAAGACACAUUUUGAAUUGUGGACAAGUACGAAACACAAUUUAAGACACCUGCAUGUUUAGGUAUGUCAAGUAGAAAUUAGAAUAUAUAUUCCGCGAGAAAAGAAAUUGGAUGCAAGAAAAACUAGUGGAUAUUUCAUUGGUUAUCCAACAAAAUCAAAAGGGUAUAUGUUUUACUAUCCUACCCAUAGUACAAGAAUUGUUGAAACUGGAAAUGCACGGUUCAUUGAAAAUUGUGAAACUAGUGGGAGUGAAGCUUCACAAAAUGUGGAGAUUAAGGAAGUUAGAGUACAAGUUCCUUUAACUAGUACCUCUACUUCAAGUAUUGUUGUUCCUAAUCUUGUUGAACCACUCAAUGAUGAAGAAGAACAAGAAAUUAAUGAUCACGAGGUUAACAACGAACCUGUAGUAGAACAACCACAAGGAAUAGUAUUAAGAAGAUCUCAAUGAGAAAGAAAGUCUGCUAUUUCGAAUGAUUAUGUGGUUUAUCUACAAGAGUCAGAAAAAGACUUAGACAUUGAUAAUGAGCCAGUUUCAUUUUCAGAAGCAAACAAUGGUGAUAAUUCUAAUAAGUGGUUGGAUGCCAUGAAAGAUGAGCUUAAAUCAUUGGCACAUAAUGAUGUAUGGGACUUUAUGGAAUUGCUAGAAGGAUGUAAGAGAGUUGGGUCUAAAUGAGGUUUUAAGACUAAACGUGACUCUCAUUGCAAUAUCGAAUGUUAUAAGGCCUGACUUGUUGCCAAAGGUUUUACUCAAAAGGAUGACAUUAAUUAUAAGGAAACAUUUUCACCUGUUUCUAAGAAAGAUUCCUUUACAGUUAUCAUGACAUUAGUAACUCAUUAUGAUCUUAAGUUACAUCAGAUGAAUGUUAAAACUGCCUUUUUGAAUGAGAAUUUAGAAGAGGAUGUUUAUAUGGACCAAGCAGUGGGGAUUAUUGAAGAAGGAAAGGAACACAUGGUGUGUAAACUUAAGAAAUCAAUAUAUGGGCUUAAACAAGAUUCUAGACAAUGGUAUCUUAAGUUCAAUGAUAUUAUUAUGUGCUUUGAAUAUAAGGAAAACAUUGUUGAUCAGUGUAUAUAUCUGAAGGUCAAUGGGAGCAAGUUUAUAAUUUUGAUUCUAUAUGUUGAUGAUAUCUUGCUUGCAACUAAUGAUCUUGGUCUAUUAAGCGAGACUAAGAAGUUUCUCUCUAAAAUGAAAUAUAUGGGCGAGACAUACUAUGUGAUAGGAAUAGAAAUAUUAUGUGAUAGAUCACAGGGACUCUUAGGCUUGUCUCGGAAAGAAUAUAUGAAUAUAUCACAAGGGACAAAAAAAUCACAUGCUUAAGUAUAGGAAAUCUGAUCAUCUUGAGGUGAUUGGAUAUACAAAUUCAGAUUUUGCUGGUUGUAUGGAUACAAGAAAGUCCACAUUUGCUUGUGAGUAUUUUUUUGUCGGAGGAGCGAUUUCAUGCAAGAGUUUGAAGCAGUCAGUCAUUGAUGCACCCACCAUGGAGGCUAAAUUUGUGGCAUGCUUUAAGGCCAUAGUUCAGGGUAAUUGGUGUCGGAUUUUUAUUUCAUGACUUGGAAUUGUUGACAGUAUUGUCAAGCCGGUGAGAAUUGAUUGUGAUAAUUUCACAGUUGUCUUCGUUUCUAAAAACAACAAGUAUUCAAAAGGUGCUAAGCAUAUUGAAUUGAAAUACUUUGUCGUUAAAGAGGAAGUUCAGAAACAUAGAUUGUCGGACAUACUAGCACUGAUCUCAUGAUUGUUGACCCAUUAACAAAAAGGGUUACCGCCCAAAAAAUUUACUAGUGAUGUCGAGAAUAUGGGCAUUAUGUCUACUAAUGAAUGAUGAAUGUUGUUAUUAAUUCUUAUUUGAAACUCUAAGCUCAUUGAUGUAUAAAAGUUUCUGAAAUCUAUGUUUUCUACUUUAUGUAUAUGCAUGUAAAUUAUAGUUUGGAAAACAAAUUAUGUUAUUGUUGAUGAGGAUGACGUUAUGUUUAUAAAGUCAUAUUAGAAAGUAAUGAUGAUAUAAUAGUACAUGGAAGGAAAUGUGUUGAUUAAAUGACAUGUAACCGUCAUGACUAUUAUUAGUUUUGUAUUCUUGAUUUUGAUUGGAUGAUAGAACAAAUUUACGUAAGGUCUUUCAAUGCCCAUUAUGGUUUAUGUAAUUAUUAAAUCAUGAAAGUAUUAUAGCUCAUAUGAGUGGAAGAAUGUUAGAAAAUUGUGUAAAUUAAUUUUAUAAUAUGACUCAUAUGAAAUAGAUUUUGGACUUUAGGACUGAAUAUGAUUUAAAAAAAUAAAAGACCCAUUAGUUAAUGUGAAAAGUUAUAUAUAAUAUUAUGAUACCUAAUGAAAACCUAAUCGGAUGGAGAUUGAAAAAGAAUAGAAACAAGUUUUGUUUCUGCAAAGGAAGUUGUACACGCUUAACCAUAAAAAGAAAGGAGAGAUAGAUUGAGAAAUGAAGAUAAAAAGAAACUGCUCCCAGGCUUCUCAUAGAUCAAUGUAAGUGUUUAUCUCUAUUAUAAUCUGAUGUGUGGAAUGUGAGAAUAAUUGUUUGUAAGAUAAUUAUGAUAAUGUAUUUGAUUAUUAUACACUUCAAGUGUUUGGGAAACUUGUGAGAAUCUGGAGAGACUUGGAUGUUAUUACAUAUGAGUUAUUAUGAGGGCUUUAAAAUAGAUAGCAGCAUUACAUAACAGGUAAGACCAAGGUUCCAAGACAUCUCUAACAAUUGGUCAAAGGUUUCAGGAAGUGGAUAAUCUAGAGCAGCAAUCUAACAAUGGCAGCUGUAACAGCAGCAACAUCGUGCAUAGCAUUGUUCUGUUUUGUGAGUGG
This 20635-nucleotide long non-coding RNA is filed under the name Phaseolus vulgaris (common bean). Its description in RNAcentral is "long non-coding RNA (PVUL_LNC004015)". The record is from RNAcentral. Lineage: Eukaryota; Viridiplantae; Streptophyta; Magnoliopsida; Fabales; Fabaceae.